This 463-nucleotide ribosomal RNA is filed under the name uncultured bacterium. RNAcentral's name for it is "partial 16S ribosomal RNA". It matches the Rfam family "Bacterial small subunit ribosomal RNA", at positions 28 to 507 of the family's 1533-position model. The record is from RNAcentral.
GACGAACGCUGGCGGCGUGCUUAACACAUGCAAGUCGAACGGAAAGGCCUUUUCGGCGGUACUCGAGUGGCGAACGGGUGAGUAACACGUGGGUGAUCUGCCCUGCACUCUGGGAUAAGCCUGGGAAACUGGGUCUAAUACCGGAUAGGACCGCACUUUAGUGUGUGUGGUGGAAAGUUUUUUCGGUGUAGGAUGAGCCCGCGGCCUAUCAGCUUGUUGGUGGGGUAAUGGCCUACCAAGGCGGCGACGGGUAGCCGGACUGGGAGGUUGGGCGGCCACAUUGGGACUGAGAGACGGCCCAGACGCCUACGGGAGGCAGCAGUGGGGAAGAUUGAACAAUGGGCGCAAGCCGGAUGCAGCGACGCCGCGUGGGGGAUGACGGCCUUCGGGUUGAAAACUCCUUUCGCCAGGGACGAAGCGUUUUGUGACGGUACCUGGAGAAGAAGCACCGGCUAACUACGUG